AAGCCUCGUACUCCAAAUUCGUCGUCGUCAGAAACUUCUAGUGCGAACCUGUCCGUUUCUGUUUUCCUCCCCCAAAUACCAUACGACUCGGUAAAUAACUCUAACGGUUAUUACACACCGAAAAUUUCUUGUCUUCAAAACGUUUAUACAUUUUCUCCAUACAAAAAUGUCAAACAACAAGAGAAAUUUAUUUAAAUUCGCUAUGAGGCGCCAAAAAACUUUUCGUCCUAAGAAAACGUGAUUUAUCGUAUCUUAUAUAUACGUAAUAAAAACCCGCAAAAAACCAAUUUUCUUCUCCUCGCUCCAUCCUCGUGUCAUAAAAAUCGCAUUCCAUUCUCGUCAAGUAUAUUCCUUUCACACACCCGCCAUCUUUCUUUUUCGCAGAUGCCAUUUUGUUUUCAGACCCCGAGCGAUUCCAGACACUUUCUCCCCCUUCCUCUACUAUUUCGUCUGGUAUUUCGACAAUCAAUCAUACACAUGGGGCACUAUGGGCAGAGUCAAUCACGCGCCGGGCAGCUUUGACUUCAGCCAAUCAGAACGCCCCCACUAAUUACAUAAACCAGACAUUUAUUUAUGCGGCAUAGAGAUUAAUCCCACAGGAGCUAGUUCACAGGAAAUCUACUGUACUUACGAAAAUUUGCGGUGUUUUUGUUAUGUUAUAACAUGAGAAAAAAGAUAUAAUGUAAAAUAUAAGAAAUAUAAAGAUCGAGAUGAUCGAGUGUAUUUGGUAA
Molecule: long non-coding RNA, 731 nt
Organism: Pogonomyrmex barbatus (red harvester ant)
Lineage: Eukaryota; Metazoa; Arthropoda; Insecta; Hymenoptera; Formicidae
Source: RefSeq, a predicted model, not a curated record